AAACGAUGGGAUGCGCGCGAUUGAGUUAGAAACUGAAAAUGUGAAAUCUCUUUGAAAAUAGAAAUAAGCGUUUUCUUUUUCUUUUUUUCCACAGAAAUAAGCGUUUUUUUAAACGCGGAUUCUCGAGAGAUACACUAGAGUAAGGGUCUGACUGGUUUAAACGCAGUGGGUGCGGUUGCGGAAGUUUGCGGAAACGGGCGGUUGCAGUUUCAAGCGUUAUCAAGCGUUCUGAACGACUGGUUGAGCGUUUGAUAAUGAGUGCGUUUGCGAGAGUUUUAUGACUGGUAAACCAGCGGAUGCGAUAAUAAUUAAAUAAAAAAAUAACCAAAAUAAAUAUAAUAUAUUA
RNAcentral lists this small RNA (346 nucleotides) under Arabidopsis thaliana (thale cress). Its description in RNAcentral is "ATSL072320". The record is from RNAcentral. Lineage: Eukaryota; Viridiplantae; Streptophyta; Magnoliopsida; Brassicales; Brassicaceae.